Molecule: RNA transcript, 1274 nt
Organism: Carya illinoinensis
Lineage: Eukaryota; Viridiplantae; Streptophyta; Magnoliopsida; Fagales; Juglandaceae
Gene name: protein ORANGE-LIKE, chloroplastic-like
Exons: 9
Source: RefSeq, a predicted model, not a curated record
GGCUCUAGAAUCUAGAUGCUGUGUCAUUUUUAUUUCUAGAUUCCAACAAAACCUCGUCACUCUCUGCACUUGUCACAUGAGCAGAGGAUAUCAACAAUGGCUACUUCCUCUCUGUACUCUCAUCUUCUUUAUCUGCCAUCUCCUCCGAAGCUGGGUUCUUCCAAAUCCCUAUUUUUCUCUUCCUCUUGCGGUGGAAAUGCGAAACCUUUCGUUUUAUUCAAAGGCACAGCCUCCUCCCGGACUCGCAUCGCCUCUUCUUCUUCUGCAAAGGACGCCUCCAGCGAUAACAUUCCUAGCAAUUUCUGCAUCAUAGAAGGUCCGGAAACUGUUCAGGAUUUCGUUCAGAUGCAAGUGCAGGAAAUUCAAAAUAACAUAAGGAGUAGACGCAAUAAGAUCUUUCUCCUCAUGGAAGAGUUAAGGAGAUUACGGGUACAAGAACGCAUCAAGGCUGUGGAAGUGAUCAAUGAGAGCGACGAGGAAGAAGCAAAUCAUGAGAUGCCUGACAUUCCAUCUUCUAUUCCUUUCCUUUCUCAUGUGACGCCGAAGACGUUGAAGCAGCUGUAUUUGACUAGCUUAUCAUUUAUAUCUGGGAUAAUCCUAUUCGGUGGCCUUAUUGCACCAACAUUGGAGUUAAAAUUAGGUUUGGGCGGCACCUCGUAUGAAUAUUUCAUACGCAAUAUGCAUUUGCCUUUGCAACUAAGCAUGGUUGAUCCCAUUGUGGCAUCCUUUUCGGGUGGGGCUGUGGGUGUCAUUUCAGCUUUGAUGUUAAUUGAAGCCAACAAUGUAGAGCAGCAAGAGAAGAAAAAAUGCAAAUAUUGCCAUGGAACUGGUUAUUUGGCCUGUGCUCGAUGUUCUGCAAGCGGUGUAUGCUUGAGUAUCAAUCCUCUCUCACUUUCCUCUGCUUCUGGUCGCCCUUUGCAAGUGCCAACAGCUGAAAGGUGUCCAAAUUGCUCCAGUGCAGGGAAGGUAAUGUGCCCGACUUGCCUGUGCACUGGGAUGUUGAUGGCCAGUGAACAUGACCCACGAAUAGAUCCAUUUGAUUGAAGAUGAUUGGAUUUCUUUCCUUUCCUUGUCUUUUAAUUUAUAAUGUAGCUCGAUCGGAAAAAAAGAAACAAAGUAAACAGUCAUCGAACGGUAAUGCAAGUGAAAUGGCGAGAACUCUGAGAAACAAACAGGGUUUCCACCUCCUGAAUCGGGCCCUGAACUCACCCACUCCAGCUCAUCGUCUUGGAACCACAACACCUCUGCAAACCCUAGCUUACGAAGAAGUCCAA